CUUCGGGAAUGAGUAGAGCGGCGGACGGGUGAGUACAAUAUGGAUAACCUACCCACAGGUCCGGGAUAACUUGGGGAAACCGAAGCUAAUACCGGAUAAGACCACGACAACUGCGGUUGUUGAGGUAAAAGUUUUUCGCCUAUGGAUGGGUCCAUGCUCCAUCAGGUUGUUGGUGAGGUAAAAGCUCACCAAGCCUAAGACGGAUAGCUGGCCUUAGCGGGUGAUCAGCCACACGGGGACUGAGACACGGCCCCGACUCCUACGGGAGGCAGCAGUGAGGAAUCUUGGGCAAUGGGCGCAAGCCUGACCCAGCCAUGCCGCGUGAGGGAAGAAGGCUUUCGAGUCGUAAACCUCUGUCAGGGGGGACGAUGGGACUUUUGUCUUGACGGUACCUCCAAAGGAAGCCCCGGCUAACUCCGUGCCAGCAGCCGCGGUAAUACGGAGGGGGGCAAGCGUUGCUCGGAUUUACUGGGCGUAAAGGGUCCGCAGGCGGUCGGGCAAGUUAGAUGUGAAAGUUCAAGACUCAAUCUUGGAAUUGCAUCUAAAACUGCUUGACUA
Molecule: ribosomal RNA, 558 nt
Filed under: uncultured bacterium
Lineage: Bacteria
Description: bacterial SSU rRNA
Rfam family: Bacterial small subunit ribosomal RNA
Source: RNAcentral